CAGGUAACUGCCGCACCUGAGGACAAGGAGGAGGAGGAAGAGGAGGAGGAGGAGGAGGAGGAGGAGGAGGAGGAGGAGAAGGAGGAGGAGGAGGAUGAAUAGCAGGAGGAGGAGGAAGAAAAAGAGGAUGAAGAGGAAGGUGUACAUGUCUUGAUAUGUGCGUGUCUGGAUUUGGAGACGCCCACGCACACGCACUUGCACCCACGCACACACACACAGAUGCACGCACGCACGCAUUGUGAUGAGGGGGUGGACGAAGAGGAAGAAGAGGAGGAAGAGGAAGAGAGGAGGAGGAAUAAGAAGAGGAAAUUUCUGAUCCAACAUUUAAACAAAGGUAA
Long non-coding RNA from Scylla paramamosain (green mud crab), 338 nucleotides. RefSeq lists it as uncharacterized. The transcript is spliced from 3 exons. The record is from RefSeq and is a predicted model, not a curated record. NCBI's taxonomy places the organism in Eukaryota, Metazoa, Arthropoda, Malacostraca, Decapoda, Portunidae.